UCUGGUGGAAGCCCGCAGCGA
This 21-nucleotide small nuclear RNA is filed under the name Arabidopsis thaliana (thale cress). RNAcentral describes it as "snRNA_10133". The record is from RNAcentral. Lineage: Eukaryota; Viridiplantae; Streptophyta; Magnoliopsida; Brassicales; Brassicaceae.